Molecule: RNA transcript, 4155 nt
Organism: Oreochromis niloticus (Nile tilapia)
Lineage: Eukaryota; Metazoa; Chordata; Actinopteri; Cichliformes; Cichlidae
Gene name: 5'-AMP-activated protein kinase subunit gamma-2
Exons: 17
Source: RefSeq, a predicted model, not a curated record
GUGUGACAUAACACCUGUAAGCAGUCCUCGCUGUUGCACGCCUUCUCUUCUUUUUUUUUGUGAACAUGUGUGUGCCCUGCCUCUCUUUUUUCACGGCCAAACCUACUUCCUGGUGGAUGAGGCAGCUCCUCAGUGUUGUCGAGGCUAAAGGGAAGGUGGAGGCGGCUGUAGACGGUGUGCAGACGCGAUACAGCAGUUUUUUUCCCAGUACACUUUAUUAGUAGUAUUUUAUAUUUUUAUUUUUUUAAGGUGUUGCGCGUUUGCAGGAAAACAAAACAUGGGAAGCACGGUGAUGGAGUCCAGCAAGGGGAGCUCAAAGAAAAUACCAAAGAAGAGGAGAAGUCUGCGGAUUAACAUGCCAGAUUUCGGGGCGUUUAAUGCCCCUCAAGUGGAGACGAGUGGCUCAACCAAAAGCGGAGCCCACACGGGAGAGCGGCUCAUUCGUUCAGCCAGCCCCAUCAAAGGAGGUUCUGCGAAGAGCCCGGACAUCGCCACACUGCCUCCAUGUCCCCAGUCUGCUCCAGUUCAAUCAAAGCCAAAUUCAGGUUCCCCCAAAAGCAUCUUCCCUUAUCCCUCCCAUCAGAACUCCCCUAAGUCCCCUCGUCGACUGAGCUUCAGCGGUAUCUUCCGGUCGUCCGGUUCUCCCUCUUCGAGCAUCAAACUCUUUUCCAGAACCAGGAGAGCCUCUGGACUCUCUACACCACCCCACACCCCAACCCAGGCAUCCAGCCAACCAGUGUUCACCCAGGAGGCCCAGCAGAGCGGCCCCAGCCCUGAACGCCCGGCGCAAAGCUCUCGCUCUCGCUCCCUUUCCACACCUCCGGACACAGGACAGCGCCUCAGCCUUCCUUCUGCUAAACCCCCAAUCCCUUCAUCGAGCCCCGUGCCACCUUAUUCUACCUCACAACAAGUCAACAACAAGGCUACUGAGCCAUACCCUCCUUCCUUGCAGGUCUACAGUUUAUUCGAAGGCAUGCUGGAGAAACUUGAUCUAGACGAUGAUGCUGCUGAACCCGAGAGUGAUAUUUACAUGCGCUUUAUGAAAUCCCACAAGUGCUAUGACAUCGUCCCCACAAGCUCCAAGUUGGUUGUGUUUGACACAGCACUCCAAGUUAAGAAAGCAUUCUUCGCCUUGGUAGCCAACGGUGUGCGGGCUGCUCCACUAUGGGACACAGAGAAGCAAAGCUUUGUGGGAAUGCUGACAAUCACAGAUUUCAUCAUCAUACUACACAGAUACUAUAAGUCACCGAUGGUGCAAAUUUAUGAAUUAGAGGAACAUAAGCUCGAGACGUGGAGAGAGGUUUACCUUCAAGCAACAUUCAAACCUCUGGUGAACAUAUCACCAGAUGCAAGCCUAUUUGACGCCGUCUACACUCUCAUCAAAAACAAAAUUCACCGGCUGCCUGUCAUCGACCCCGUUACAGGGAAUGCACUUUAUAUUCUCACACACAAGAGGAUCCUCAAGUUCCUCCAGCUCUUUAUGUGUGAGAUGCCAAAGCCAGCUUUUAUGAAACAGACUCUUGGCGAGCUGGGCAUCGGAACAUACCACGACAUUGCUUUCAUCCACCCAGACACACCCAUCAUCAAAGCACUCAACAUCUUUGUGGAGCGGCGAGUGUCUGCUUUGCCUGUGGUGGAUGACUCGGGCAAAGUUGUGGAUAUUUACUCCAAGUUUGAUGUGAUUAACUUGGCUGCUGAGAAGACGUACAACAAUCUGGACAUUUCAGUGACCCAGGCUCUGAAACAUCGCUCUCAGUACUUCGAAGGAGUUAUGAAGUGCCAUAAAAUGGAAACGAUGGAGACCAUUGUGGACAGAAUAGUCAAAGCUGAAGUGCAUCGGUUGGUGGUGGUGGACGAGCGCUCCAGUAUCGAGGGCAUCGUUUCCCUGUCAGACAUCCUUCAGGCGCUGGUGCUCAGUCCUGCAGGUAUAGAUGCUCAGCAUUGCUAGCGUCAACUCCCCCUCUGCCCUGGACCUUGAGCUCUCUCUAGCCACCUGCCCUCUAACCCUGCCCCAGAUACCUGUAAGGAGGAGAACACGACUGAAUGAGAAGUGGAUGUAUCAGCUUAAGUGGAGAUGUGGUGGGAGUAAUUAAAUUGAAACAUUAAGGUAGGGAGUGUAAGGCUGAGUGGAGCCAGGCUGAAGGUCCCAGAUACCCCUGAAACCAAUGCACUAAUAAAGGCUUGGAACCCAAAGAGCUAGACUGCUGAGUGAAGUGGACUUCUGCACUGAAGAUUGUUUUUUUUGUUUGUUUUUUUUUCCCCUGAAUUUCUUCUUUGUUAGUGUUGGGUUUUUUUUAUAAACACUGAUCAAAUACGCACAUAAGAUAAGAUAACCUUUAUUAGUCCCACACGUGGGAAAUUUGUUUUGUCACAGCAGGAAGUGGACAUGUUAAUGGUGUAGACACUGAUCAGCUGCAACAUUAAAACCACUGAUGGGCGGAUUAAACAUUGAGUCCAGUGUGUUCUAAUUGUGUUUUGGGUCCCAACAUUUAUGAGGUACAUAACAUUCCUUGCUUGAUGAUUCUGCUAAAACGAGAUUGAUUAGACUCUAAAUUAGAAGAAACGAGAAUAGGUCAAAGAAAAAGUGUUUCAUCGUUUUUAAAAAUCUGAAUUUUCUGCAUGUUAUUGCUGCUUGGGGCGUUCGUAAACCGAACAAUUCAGAGAUGCAUGAGAAAUGUGCGGUCAUUAUGUCGUGCAUGCCUUUCCUUUAAUGAGACCAUGCAGUGCAGGUUUGGGUUGUGCUGAAACUGGUUUACAGUUGCUGGAAAUUUAAAAAAAAAAAAAAAAAAAGUGCCAAAGAUGCUCAUGAGUCAUGUACAGAUGACUCAGAUUAGUGGAAAGGGGCUAUAGCCAUCCACCAACCACCUAAACAGUUUUGCAAACCAGCCCAUCUCUGACCCCCAAGGCAAAAAUUCUCAGGAACACUUCAGUAAACUGCUUCCAAACUUCCCAGAUCCCAAUCUAAUCAGUCAUCCCUGGGGAGCACGGGUAUGACCCGAUCCACCAGGGGUUUGCCCUCAUUGUAUGAUGCCUGAUAGAACAGGACACCCGAGGGUCCUGUCUCCAUUCUCCAUACACUACAGCAGGUUUGGUGGUGUGACUGAGACCUGCCAACAGUAUUGGGACGGUGGUUCUUAUGUUGUGGCUGAUUCCUGUUAACACAGAUAAACUCCAUUAAGGUUUCUUUCUGGGGAAAGUUUGGAAACGUCAACACGGGUUCUGGUGGGUUUGGGAUUCAGUGUUUCGGGUUACAGUCAUGCUGCUGUCAUCACAAGUUUAAGUCACGUAGGAAAGCGAGCGUUAACUGGUAACAAAACCACACGUUACCUGCAAUGUGGUCACUUGACGCCAUUAAAGAAAGUGUUUGCCAGUGCCAAUACAGACCUGCUCAAUGCCCAAUAUUUAUUUGUGCCUUUACUUACUUCUCUCCACAGAAAUGUAUGUUGUAAAAUGGGUGCAAUGAUGAGUAUGAAUGUGUAAUAUUGAAGUAGAGUGCAAAUUGUACCUGCUGCUUCAAAGGUGUGCAUUUACUCGGUUUGGGGGCGGCAUAAAUUUAAAACUGUGUCAGAAGCGUCAAGAAGUUCUGUUAAAUCUUAUUCUUGAAAGAAAAUCCUAAAUCACACUGGCGCUGUUACGCAUUGCUCAGAGGGAAGAUGCAACUGCACGCUUCUGUCAGCCAGGAGUGCUUUAAGUCAUGAGUGAUCAAUAAGACUUAAGUAUGGAUUUUAUAAUGGUAACACCUGGUUCAGGAAAAAGCCUUUUUAAAUAUUUGAAAAGCUUUUUCUUCCCCCCUUCCCGUUUAUUUUCAGUAGUUUUGAAUCUUCAAAUCAGUCUGGUUAUCUCAGCUGUAGCUCAACAGGACUCAUCUCCAUCUUCGAGUGUAAAUAGGAUCGUUUUCGGGAAAUGUGUCACAGAAAGAUUUAUUUUUAUGAACGGUGACGUGUUUGAAGAGAGACUGCAGGUUUAAUGUUAGUUUUGUAAAUACAUUGUGGCAAUAUGUGUAGUUCAGAGAAACUUUGUAACGGAUCAACAUGUACUGUAAAUGUGCAAGCAUGAGAAACUACACUUCAGCAGUAUGAAUGUUUUUUUGUUUUUUUUUUUCUUUUACUUUUUCUAUUUUUCUGGCUGCAGAAAAAUAAAGAGACACUGAAUGUA